UCGGGAAUAUUGGACAAUGGGCGCAAGCCUGAUCCAGCCAUGCCGCGUGUGUGAAGAAGGCCUUCGGGUUGUAAAGCACUUUCAGCGAGGAGGAAGGGAGUUGUGUUAAUAGCACAGCUUCUUGACGUUACUCGCAGAAGAAGCACCGGCUAACUCUGUGCCAGCAGCCGCGGUAAUACAGAGGGUGCAAGCGUUAAUCGGAAUUACUGGGCGUAAAGCGCACGUAGGCGGUUUUUAAGUCAGAUGUGAAAGCCCCGGGCUCAACCUGGGAAUUGCAUUUGAAACUGGAAAACUAGAGUGUGUGAGAGGGGGGUAGAAUUCCAAGUGUAGCGGUGAAAUGCGUAGAGAUUUGGAGGAAUACCAGUGGCGAAGGCGGCCCCCUGGCACAACACUGACGCUCAUGCACGAAAGCGUGGGGAGCAAACAGGAUUAGAUACCCCCGUAGUCCCUGAGCGGGCUGGCAAGGCGCAU
RNAcentral lists this ribosomal RNA (471 nucleotides) under uncultured bacterium. Its description in RNAcentral is "bacterial SSU rRNA". It matches the Rfam family "Bacterial small subunit ribosomal RNA", at positions 355 to 825 of the family's 1533-position model. The record is from RNAcentral.